RNAcentral lists this long non-coding RNA (1247 nucleotides) under Equus asinus (donkey). RNAcentral's name for it is "lncRNA (ENSEASG00005027276.1)". The record is from RNAcentral. Lineage: Eukaryota; Metazoa; Chordata; Mammalia; Perissodactyla; Equidae.
AUUAAGGUGAUAGCUUGGGCCAUUUUGGGGAAUUAGUUUUCCUGGGUCUCUGCCACGUAUACAGGGGCUAUACAUGUUAGUGAACUUAUGUUUGCUUUUCUCUUGUUAAUUUGUCUUUUAUUAGAGGGCAGUCUCAGGCAAGAACCUAGAAGGGUAGAGGGAAAAUUAUUUUUCCUCCCCUGCAACUGUCUUUAGCUCUCCUUGUUUUGUCUCAUUCAUGAAAAGAAUAGGGAACGAAAAUGGAGUACAUUUUUGAACUUGCUAACUGCCAAUGCCGUUCAAUGACAUGUGUUACCCAAAAGUAGGGUAACUUAACUUCCUUCCUUUCGUUCAUUUCUUUGGAGAUAAGGAUGCUAAUCCAGUAGGACUACUGUAGCCAUAACUCAAGCAGAAGAGAAUGGAGAAAGUUAAAGAUGCUAAAUUGAGUAUAUAUAUAUGUAAAGAAAGAUCAUUAACCCCAUUUAAAACAUGUGGGUUAAUGAGUCUGUAAAAAGUGAAAUAAACGUUUCUCAACUCAAUUUCUGAAGCUAGUGCAACCACAGGCCCUCCAGGAUUCCAUCUUAUCAACAGAAUAAUUAAGAAAUUGUCUUUCAGAAAAUUUGCAGUCAUGUAGCCAGAGCACGCACAGAAGAAAUCUUUACCUGAAAUGACAGUGGAACCAAAGAUUCUCCUCCCCAUGAAAACAAAAAGACCAAGACAUGAAUGGAACUUAAAAGUUGGACUCAACAGAAAUGUGGGGUCCAUCAUUCAGGAAGAUCAGAUGUUAAAAUUGCUUCCCCACCUUUCCAUAAAUGUUUAGAACAUUACAUUGCUUGAAACCCACCAAUCAAAACCUGUCCCAGGGCCAGCCCAGUGGCACAGUGGUUAACGUCAUAUGCUCUGCUUCAGCAGCCUGGGGUUUGCUGGUUCAGAUCCCAGGUGCGGACCUACACACGGCUUAUCAAGCCAUGUGGCAGGUGUCCCACAUAUAAAAUAGAGGAAGAUGCCCACAGAUGUUAGCUCAGGGGCCAAUCUUCCUCAGCAAAAAGAGGAGGAUUGUUGGCAGAUGCUAGCUCAGGGCUAAUCUUCCUCAAAAGAAAAAAAUACACCUGUCCCACUAGAGUUUCUGUCUGCCAGCCUGUUCUCCAUAACCUCUUAAAUUUCACCCCAAAUCCUGAAUCAGGGAGGCAGAUCUGAGGGCACAUACCCUGUCUCACCCCGGCAGAUUGAUCUUGCAGAAUAAAGUUGAUUUCUUUUACCAAAAGCUG